Oryzias melastigma (Indian medaka) is the source of this 1219-nucleotide long non-coding RNA. RefSeq lists it as uncharacterized. NCBI's taxonomy places the organism in Eukaryota, Metazoa, Chordata, Actinopteri, Beloniformes, Adrianichthyidae. The transcript is spliced from 2 exons. The record is from RefSeq and is a predicted model, not a curated record.
AAAGUAUGAUAUUAUAUUUAUUUUUAACUACGGGGAUUUUUGAGCAGGCGCGCGCGAGGACAGCUACGUACGGACCGGGGUCCUUCAACCGGCAAAAGCUCAUGUCGGUGUGCUAAUGUUUACAUGUUGGAAUGUAAAGUUAUCGAGUGAUUGAGAGAUAAACCGUGCUGUCUAAAAUAAGAAAAGUGAAGUCUGAAAAUCAAAUCGUGUCUUCCGGGAUGAGCGGACCGAAGCUUUCGCUUCUAUUUGCCAGCAGUGAGUUCUACAAGGCCGGUGAUGAUUCUAGCAGCAUGGAGGCUGCUGCUUUUGGUAAAAGCAUCGACAUCAAGCGGCGCUAUGAGACAAAACACGAAACUUUGGAAACAACUUACCCGCCAGAAUACACGAACUGAAAGGACAAUCCAGACGUACAACACAGACGCUAACAGCACAACAACGAGCUCACCAGAGCUCACUACGAGUGGAAUAGUUUUGGAGCAAGCACAAAAGUGACUGAAAUGAUUCAAAGAGUGGAUGGAGGCGAUGGCAGAAACUUCAUUGGAGGGAAAAGUGCUUCAAGAAAAGGCCCGACAGCUUCCCCGUGUGGUGCUGAGGAUGCUGGGAAGAUGCCAGUCAAACCACCGAGCAGACUUUCCUAACUCGUGGCUCGAGACAUCUGGACAACCCCUUGGCUUCAGCGGUGAACUUUAUUGUGCCAGGACGUCCUUUCAUGUUUUUUUGUUUGGAGUGUAACUUACAAUGGGGGUCAGAAUUUGUAUAGCAGCCUGUGCCCCGGACACACAUGAGACGCAUGCAGGAAGUCAGCAGGAAGCAGGACAGCAUGGAGGGGAAGAGCACAGAAGAAUAGACAGACCAAGAAGGAGCAGCACAGUCUGACAUCAGCUUUUUAAGAGCAGCCUGCACAUAUGAUCAGCACUCAAUACGAUCAGCGCCUUCAGGUUCUGUCUUCAUUCUUUAUAUAUUUUAAUGCCACUAUCACCCCUGUGUUUACUCUACAGUUUGUCUUUCAGAUAAUUCUCCUUCAGAGCAUUACAGUCCAUCCCUUCCUCUCUCCGUUCAAAGUGGAAAGGCGUUUGAAUGGCCCGCCAUAUGAAACCUGCUCUGCCAAUGAUGUAUUUAGCCACAAUUCAGGUUUUUGUCACUUUUCAAAACUCCUUUACUAAAGAGAUUUCUGUACUUUGUGGGACUUUGUGAUAAAAUAAAAGUAAUUGUAACACUU